This 406-nucleotide ribosomal RNA is filed under the name uncultured bacterium. Its description in RNAcentral is "partial 16S ribosomal RNA". It matches the Rfam family "Bacterial small subunit ribosomal RNA", at positions 30 to 526 of the family's 1533-position model. The record is from RNAcentral.
AUUGACCGCUAGCGGCAGGCCUAACACAUGCAAGUCGAACGAGUGGCGGACGGGUGAGUAAUGUAUGGGAAACUGCCUGAGGGAGAGGGAUAACUACUGGAAACGGUAGCUAAUAACGCAUACCAUCAGAUGUGCCCAGCUGGGAUUAGCUAGUUGGUGGGGUAACGGCGCACCAAGUUGACGAUCCCUAGCUGGUCUGAGAGGAUGACCAUCCACGCUGGAACUCAGACACGGUCCAGACUCUUACGGGAGGCAGCAGUGGGGAAUAUUGAACAAUGGGCGCAAUCCUGAGGCAGCCAUGCCGCGUGUAUGAAGAAGGCCUUCGGGUUGUAAAGUACUUGCAGCGGGGAGGCGUUACCCGCAGAAGAAGCACCGGCUAACUCCGUGCCAGCCGCCGCGGUAAUUC